UGUGAAAGCUGUGGCACAGAGAGCUAAAAGAGCAUCUGAUGCUGCCUGCAGAGGCCAGGAUGAGUCUGCUGGAACAGAGAAAGCCAAGAACACCAGAGAUCACCAGCACAGGAAUUGCUCCAUUUGGUAUAGUGAAUCCUCUUCCUUAAUCCUCAAUGCCAUUAAGAUGGGGACAUCUGGGAAAUCAACCCCAUGAGAGAUCAGGAGAGGUGCCUGAGCACUGAGGGAGAGUAAAUGUCACCUCAGUCUUCAAAAGGGGCAAGGAGGACCCAGGGAAUACCAGCCAGCCAGCCAAACUCAGUCACUGGAAAUGUGACAGAGUGCCUCAAGAUGAAGGCCAGCUCUAUCCACAUGGAUGACAAGAAGGGGAUCAGGAGUAGUCAGCAUGGAUUCACAAGGGUAAAUCAUGCUUGACCUGAUGGCCUUCCAUGAUGAGACAACUACCUGGAUGGAUGAGGGCAGAGCAGUGUGUAUUGGCUACCUCAACUUUAACAAGGCUUUUAACUCUGCCUCUCACAAUGUCCUCAUAGGUAAAUUCAGGAAGUGUGGACUGGAUGAGUGGACAGCAAGUUGGAUUGAGAACUGCCUGAAUGGCACAUCCAGAGGGACAAAAUCCAUAGAAGAGGGUCUAGCUGGAGGCUUGUCACUAGUGGUGUCUGCCAAGGUCACUAUAGGGUCCAGAAUUGUUUCACUUGUUCAUCAGUGACUUGGGGGGAGGGGUGGAUGCCUCCUCAGCAAAUUCACUGACAACUCAAAGCUGGGAGGAGUGGCCAAUACCCAAGAGUGUUGUGCUGACAUUCAGAAGGAUCUUAAGAGGUUGGAGAGAAGGGCAGAGAAGAACUGUCUGAAGUUCAACAAAGACAAAUGCAGAGUCCUGCACCAGUAAGGCUGGAGGCCAAACUGCUGGAAAGCAGCUCUGUGGAGAAGGACCUGUGGGUCCUGGUGGACAACAAGCUGUCCAUGAGCCAGCAGUGAGCCCCUGUGGCCAAGAAGACCGAUGGUCUCCUCGGGUGCAUUAGGAAGAGCAUUGCCAGCAGGUGGAGGGAGGUGAUCCUGACCCUCUACUCAGCCUGGUGAGGCACAUCUGGAGUGCUGUGUGCAGUUCUGGGUUCCUCAGGGCAAGAGUGAUGGUGCUCCAGGACAGUGUUUCUGGAGCAGGUUCAGCAGAGGACAACAAAGAGUUGUCUUCUGCCUUGAGAAGAUGACUGAGAAGGGAGCUCUUCAAUGUAUAUAAGUACAGGAAGGGAGGGUGUCUAGAGUAGGGAGGCAGGCUCUUCUCAAUGGUACCAAACAAUAAGGCCAGAGGCAACAGUGAAAAACUGAUUGUCCCGGGUUGACUUUAUGAUACUGGUAUCCCCAAAUGGCCUGGUUUAUGUUAUAUAUUAAGUUCUGCAGCUUUAAGGCUGGCUUUGAGAGUUAGGGAAGUUGAAACUGCUGGAGGCUGAUGGGAGUUUUAUCUCCUAGCCAAUAACUAACCAUUUCUGAGACUUGACAGUGAUUUUGACAACUGAAAAGUGAGAUCAACCUGUGAACACCUACCUUAAGGUGUAAGCCCAGGAAUUUCUGGCUCUUUUUGGUUUCCGGCUUCGGAAGAGGUACCAGGCUCCUGCUCAGCCUCUUCCCCCACCCCCAGGCUGGACAAAUCAGCAGAGGGGUGGCGGGGGGAAAGCGGGGUCAGCUGGGCUCAGGCUGGUUCCUGGCUUGGUUUGCAGUUUCUGCCGCUGAACUGAAACCUGACACCAUGAACAUUUGCAGCUUGAGCAAGACUUUAACUCUUUUACUACCUGGAUGAGACUUGCAGAUUAAUUUUUUGUUUUUCCCAGAGAGAGGGGAAGAGAGAGAGAUCUACAUGUAAGGAGACACCAUAAAACCAUCAAAGACAGUGAAGAAAGGAAUUAAGUUUUAGAGGGGGAAGAGAAAAUAAGGAGAUGCUUUAAUAAGCAGAAAUAUUUUUCUGUUAAAGCUAUGGAGAUGGAUAGUAGUGUUCUGAAAAAAACCAAAACUCCUUUAAUUCAUGACAGAGUAUAUUGGGAGGAAUGGAGUGUUCAAAGUGUAGAUUUUGAGCAAAUGGUGAAGUGGUUGUGAUCCUGUGAGAUGGUGGAACAGAGGGGAGAGAAGUAAUAGUUAAAGAUUUGGGACUGUUGAGAGGCAAAGAGAAGACUUCUGUUUCCAGAGAGGCUCACAAAAACAGAUGAAGAGAACUUUUGCCUUUGAAUAACUCAUCCUUAAAAAUGACAUCCCUAGACUCAUUGACCCAUAACACACCUCAGAGUGAUGUGAAAUGGGAGAGAACUGAUGACAGAUUUCCAGGCAGCUGGCAUCAGAGAAAUAGAAAGCUAUGAAGAAAAAUAGUUUUCUCGUGAAAAACUCCAUAGAUUACCAGAAGAAGACUUUUUUUUUUUUUUUCUCUACAAAGAUUGAUGAAAGGAUUAUAGCAAGAAUUGGGACUGUUUUAACCACCAAAGUUUUUUUGUGUCUAUGUUGU
Poecile atricapillus (Black-capped chickadee) is the source of this 2485-nucleotide long non-coding RNA. RefSeq lists it as uncharacterized. The transcript is spliced from 4 exons. NCBI's taxonomy places the organism in Eukaryota, Metazoa, Chordata, Aves, Passeriformes, Paridae. The record is from RefSeq and is a predicted model, not a curated record.